CCUACGGGUGGCAGCAGUGGGGGAUAUUGCACAAUGGGGGAAACCCUGAUGCAGCGACGCCGCGUGGGUGAAGAAGUAAUUCGGUAUGUAAAGCUCUAUCAGCAGGGAAGAAGAACUGACGGUACCUGAGUAAGAAGCACCGGCUAAAUACGUGCCAGCAGCAGCGGUAAUACGGAGGGUGCAAGCGUUAUCCGGAUUUACUGGGUGUAAAGGGAGCGCAGGCGGCACGGCAAGCCUGAUGUGAAAGACCGCGGCAGAACCGCGGAACUGCGUUGGGAACUACCGGACUGGAGUGCGGGAGGGGUAGGCGGAAUUCCUAGUGUAGCGGUGAAAUGCGUAGAUAUUAGGAGGAACACUCGUGGCGAAGGCGGGUUCCUGGACAUUAACUGACGCUGAGGCACGAAGGCGAGGGGAGCGAAAGGGAUUAGAUACCCGGGUAGUC
Molecule: ribosomal RNA, 442 nt
Filed under: uncultured bacterium
Lineage: Bacteria
Description: partial 16S ribosomal RNA
Rfam family: Bacterial small subunit ribosomal RNA
Source: RNAcentral